This 614-nucleotide ribosomal RNA is filed under the name Holosporales bacterium. Its description in RNAcentral is "bacterial SSU rRNA". It matches the Rfam family "Bacterial small subunit ribosomal RNA", at positions 1 to 772 of the family's 1533-position model. Lineage: Bacteria; Pseudomonadati; Pseudomonadota; Alphaproteobacteria; Holosporales. The record is from RNAcentral.
AAACAUGAGAGUUUGAUCCUGGCUCAGAACGAACGCUGGCGGCACGCCUAACACAUGCAAGUCGAACGAAGCAUAAGAGCUUGCUCUUAUGACUGAGUGGCGCACGGGUGAGUAACACGUGGGAAUCUGCCUAUUGGUGGGGAAUAACUUUUGGAAACGAAAGCUAAUACCGCAUAUACCCUGAGGGGGAAAGAUUUAUCGCCAAUAGAUGAGCCCGCGCUAGAUUAGCUAGUUGGUGAGGUAAGAGCUCACCAAGGCUACGAUCUAUAGCUGGUCUGAGAGGAUGGUCAGCCACACUGGGACUGAGACACGGCCCAGACUCCUACGGGAGGCAGCAGUGGGGAAUAUUGGACAAUGGGNNGUAAUACGAAGGGUGCAAGCGUUGUUCGGAAUUACUGGGCGUAAAGAGCGCGUAGGCGGCUUAUCAAGUCAGGCGUGAAAUCCCUGGGCUCAACCCGGGAAUUGCGUUUGAAACUGGUAGGCUUGAGUGUCAGAGGGGUGAGUGGAAUUCCUAGUGUAGAGGUGAAAUUCGUAGAUAUUAGGAGGAACACCAGUGGCGAAGGCGACUCACUGGCUGAAUACUGACGCUAAGGCGCGAAAGCGUGGGGAGCAAA